AACGCGAAGAACCUUACCAGGGCUUGACAUGGGCAAGUCGCGUCCGGAGACGGGCGUUCCUGCAAGGGCUUGCCGCACAGGUGCUGCAUGGCUGUCGUCAGCCCGUGUCGUGAGAUGUUGGGUUAAGUCCCGCAACGAGCGCAACCCUCGCCUUUAGUUGCCAGCACGUUGGGGUGGGCACUCUAAAGGAACUGCCGGUGACAAGCCGGAGGAAGGUGGGGAUGACGUCAAGUCCUCAUGGCCCUUAUGUCCUGGGCUACACACGUGCUACAAUGGCGGUGACAGUGGGACGCCAGGCCGCGAGGCCGCGCUGAUCCCGAAAGCCAUCUCAGUUCGGAUUGCACUCUGCAACUCGGGUGCAUGAAGGUGGAAUCGCUAGUAAUCGCGGAUCAGCACGCCGCGGUGAAUACGUUCCCGGGCCUUGUACACACCG
This 433-nucleotide ribosomal RNA is filed under the name uncultured bacterium. Its description in RNAcentral is "bacterial SSU rRNA". It matches the Rfam family "Bacterial small subunit ribosomal RNA", at positions 958 to 1392 of the family's 1533-position model. The record is from RNAcentral.